CCUUUGACCACGCCCCAGCAGUUGGAUCCCUGGCAACCAGGUCCCAACUGCCACAUCCCCCCAGCCAGGCCCCAGCUACUGGACUCCUACCGACCAAGCCCCAAAUUCUGGAUUGCUGACCACCAGGCCCCAACUGCCAGAUAUCUCUAACUAGACCACACUGAUCUGAUCCCCACUGACCAGCCCCCAACUGCUGGACCCCCUCCAACCAGGCCCCAACUAGGAGACCCCCACUUAUCAGGCCCCAACUGCCAGACCUCACUGACCAACCCCCAACUCCCAGGACACCCACUGACCAGGCCCCAAUCGCUGAUCCCUGUCAAACAGACCCCAACUGCCACAUCCCGCUAAACAGUCCCCCGCUGUCAUGUCCCCUCUGCCCAGGCUACAAUUGCUGGACUCCCUCCAACCAGGCCCCAACUAGGAGACCCCUGCUGACCAGGCCCCAAUGUCCAGACCUCAUUGACCAGGCCACCCUGAUCUGAGACUCACUUCCCAGGCCCCACCUGCUGGACCCCCAUAGACAAGACUGCAACGGCCAGAUCUCUGCUCACCAGGCCCCAACUUCAAGACCCACUUGUCAGGCCCCAACUGUGGGACCCCUGCUAGGCAGCCAGGGCCCAACUACUGGACCCUCACUGUCCACGCCCCAACCGCAGGACCUGACUAGGUCUCACUGAUCAGAUCCCUGCUGACCUUGCCCCAGCUGCAGACCCCUGUCUGUUGCAGAAUAUUUUGUAGACAGAAGAGACCAAUGUGUGAAACAGGAGGAUUUUAUUGAGGUGGACACUGGCUCAGCGGACCAGCAUCCCAAGGCUGAGCGCCUAACAGAGACAGGGCUUGACUUUCUAUACAUCCAGGAUGAUGUAGCAGCUAACAGGUUUCCAGAAGCCAGAAAAAAGAAGAGUCCAUUAAUUUGUAACAUGUCUUGUGAUGUACGUUACAUUUGAAAACAGCAUUUUGAGAAACGCCUUGCACAUCCUUUGGGUGUUAUUUGCCCUGUGACCUUGCAGCUGGUCAGCAAGAAGAACAGGAGUCUUGAGAUGCCGGGAACUUGCUGAGAACAUGGGGAGGAUAGGAGGGCCCCAACUGCUGGACCCCACCGACCAGGCCCCAGCUGCCAGCCCUCUGCUGACCAGGCCCUAAGAACUGCCAGCCCCUGCUGACCAGGCCCUAAGAACUGCCAGCCCUCUGCUGACCAGGCCCUAAGAACUGCCAGCACCUGCUGACCAGGCCCUAAGAACUGCCAGCCCCUGCUGACCAGGCCCUAAGAACUGCCAGCCCCUGCUGACCAGGCCCUAAGAACUGCCAGCCCCUGCUGACCAGGCCCUAAGAACUGCCAGCCCCUGCUGACCAGGCCCUAAGAACUGCCAGCACCUGCUGACCAGGCCCUAAGAACUGCCAGCCCUCUGCUGACCAGGCCCUAAGAACUGCCAGCACCUGCUGACCAGGCCCUAAGAACUGCCAGCCCCUGCUGACCAGGUCUCACUGGUCAGAUGCCCACUAAACAGUCCCCUGCUGACCAGACCCCACUGGCCAGACCUUCCAUGAUCUGACCCUCAUUGAAUGGAUCCCACUGAGCAGAUCACCAUUACCAUGCCCUCACCAACCAACACCCAGUGAGUAGGCUUCUGAUGACCAGGCCCACACUUCCAGGGCGCUAGUGACCAGGUCACCAUGACAAGGCCCCAUUGACCCAAACCCUGCUGACUGGUCCCAGCUGGCCAGUAUCUCAAUGGCAAGGUCACUGCCAACAAUGCCCCUUCCAACCAGGCCACUGCUGACCAGGGCCCCGCUGACCAUGGCCCCGCUGGGGGGAGUCCUUCAGUGGUACUGUAUUGGCUGACCACACCCCUGGAUGGCCAGGCCUCUGCUGACACAGUCCCCACAGAACAUGUCCCCAGAGACCGGGUCCCAGAUAACCAAAUCCUGCGGACCGGGGUCACUGACCAGGCCACACUGGUCAUGCUUCCAAUGGCAAGGCCUUCACUGACUGACCAGUCCACGCUGCCAGGCCGCAGCUGAGUAGCCCACAAUCAUGAGGUUCCCACUGACCAGGUGCUAAUCCCCCACGCUACUAACUAGAUUCUACUCUUCAGGUCCUGCUGACCAGACCCCCAGAGGCCGGGUUGCCACUGAACAAAACACCACUCCCUUUGCCCCCACUGACUAGGUUUUUGUUUUGUUUUCUUUUGUUUUUUUUGAGAUGGAGCCUCACUCUGUCACCUAGGCUGGAGUGCAGUGGCGGGAUCUCGGCUCACUACAACCUCUGCCUCCUGGGUUCAAGAGGUUCUCCUGCCUCAGCCUCUGGAGUAGCUGGGAUUACAGGCACGAGCCACCACGCCUGGCUAAUUUUAAAUUUUUAGUAGAGAUGGGGUUUCACCAUGCUGGCCAGGCUGGUCUUGAGCUCCUGACCUCCGGUGAUCCACUUGCCUUGGCUUCCCAAAGCGCUGGGAUUAUAGGCGUGAGCCACUGACCCACCGGCCCACUGACUAGGUUUUUACAGAUAAGGCUCGUACUGAGUAGACCGCAGUGACCCAUUCCUCACUGAGCAAAACCCCAGACUUAGGCCCUGCUGACCGGGCUUCCCCUGAACAGGCCCGCACUGAGAAGACUCCGGCUGACCAGGUCACCACAGACAAGGCCCCCAGUGACUAUUCCACUGACCACGCGUUUGAUGACCAGGCCCCCACUGACCACCAGAGUGAAUGACCAGGGCAAAGUGUCAGAUCAUCCAAGUUUAUUGAGCCAAUGUGAAGAGGACCCAUUGGGGAAAAUGGUUUGGAAGUAGGAACCACUCCGUCAUUGCGAUUCUCUCCUCUCUUCUUGUUGAAUUAAAUUCCUAAUUUCAAAAUGCAAAUGAAAGUAAAUAAAAGCAUUGGGGAACGACCUUGCCCUGUAGUAUGAAAGGGGAAGAUUCUCAAGCACAACAGCCUCCGAUGAAAUUGCCACAGCUCCACCUAGAAGAGAGAUGUGAGACUUCGGAUGCUAAAUUGACCAGCACCCUAGCAUCAAUCCCAUGUUCUGUCAGCAGACCAGGAAGUGUCCAUGACCAUGGACAGAAAAUCAUGUUUGGAAAGGAAGCUUGCUGCUCAAUCCCUUCUGUGCCCCUCUGCCUGAGAUCUCUCCCCCACCAUUUUAUUUGUUGAUAAGCUAUCCAGACAACGUUCUUCCUGUACUGAGCCAGGAAGGAAAUGUGUGAGAUUUGAUGGAGGCAGUUUUCUUUUAAGACUUGGAACCAACCCAAAUGCCCAUCAAUAAUAGACUGGAUAAAGAAAAUGUGGCACAUAUACACAGUGAAAUACUAUGCAGUCAUAAAAAAGGAUGACUUCAUGUCCUUUGCAGAGACAUGGAUGAAACUGGAAACCAUCAUUCUCGGCAAACUGACACAAGAACAAAUAAAAUAAAAUAAAAUAAAAUAAAAUAAAAUAAAAUAAAAUAAAAUAAAAAAACAAAAAAUGGAAAAAAAGAACUAGUGGAGAAUAUUUGUGAAAAGUUGUGUCAAGUGGAGAAUAUUUGUGUAGA
Long non-coding RNA from Callithrix jacchus (white-tufted-ear marmoset), 3525 nucleotides. RefSeq lists it as uncharacterized. NCBI's taxonomy places the organism in Eukaryota, Metazoa, Chordata, Mammalia, Primates, Cebidae. The record is from RefSeq and is a predicted model, not a curated record.